CAAAAAGUCUUCUGUCA
Molecule: small RNA, 17 nt
Filed under: Arabidopsis thaliana (thale cress)
Lineage: Eukaryota; Viridiplantae; Streptophyta; Magnoliopsida; Brassicales; Brassicaceae
Description: ATSL250710
Source: RNAcentral